UACGUAGGUGGCAAGCGUUGUCCGGAAUUACUGGGUGUAAAGGGUGCGUAGGCGGCUAUGCAAGUCAGGCGUGAAAUAUAUGGGCUUAACCCGUAGACUGCGUUUGAAACUGUGUAGCUUGAGUGAGGUAGAGGCAGGCGGAAUUCCCGGUGUAGCGGUGAAAUGCGUAGAGAUCGGGAGGAACACCAGUGGCGAAGGCGGCCUGCUGGGCCUUAACUGACGCUGAAGCACGAAAGCAUGGGUAGCAAACAGG
This 253-nucleotide ribosomal RNA is filed under the name uncultured bacterium. Its description in RNAcentral is "partial 16S ribosomal RNA". It matches the Rfam family "Bacterial small subunit ribosomal RNA", at positions 524 to 776 of the family's 1533-position model. The record is from RNAcentral.